This is an RNA transcript of Otolemur garnettii (small-eared galago), 1131 nucleotides long. It is a transcript of the gene named glutamine synthetase pseudogene, with no coding region annotated. The record is from RefSeq and is a predicted model, not a curated record. The transcript has a single exon. Lineage: Eukaryota; Metazoa; Chordata; Mammalia; Primates; Galagidae.
UCAGAACAUCUUCCACCAUGGCCACCUCAGCAAGUUCCCACUUAAACAAAGGCAUCAAGCAGGUAUAUAUGUACCUGCCUCAGGGCGAGAAAGUCCAAGCCAUGUAUAUCUGGAUUGAUAGUACCGGAGAAGGUCUACGCCACAAGACCUGCACCCUGGACUGUGAGCCCAAGUGUGUAGAAGAGUUACCUGUGUGGAAUUUUGAUGGCUCUAGUACUUUACAGUCUGAAGGCUCCAACAGUGACAUGUAUCUCGUGCCUGCUGCCAUAUUCCAGGACCCCUCUGCAAGGACCCCAACAAGCUGGUGUUCUGUGAAGUUUUCAAGUAUAAUUGAAAGCCUGCAGAGACCAAUUUGAGGCACAUCUGUAAGUGGAUAAUGAACAUGGUGAGCACCCAGCACCCCUGGUUUGGAAUGGAGCAGGAAUACACACUGCGGGGACAGAUGGGCACCCCUUCCUUGGCCUGCCAAAGGCUUCCUUGGGCCCCAGGUCCUUAUUAUUGUGGUGUGGGAGCAGACAGAGCCUAUGGCAGGGAUAUUGUGGAGGCUCACUACCGAGCCUGCUUGUAUGCUGGAGUCAAGAUUGCCGGCACUAAUGCCGAGGUCAUGCCUGCCCAGUGGGAAUUCCAAAUUGGACCCUGUGAAGGAACCAGCAUGGGAGAUCAUCUCUGGGUGGCUCGUUUCAUCUUGCAUCGCGUGUGUGAAGACUUUGGAGUGAUAGCAACCUUUGAUCCCAAGCCCAUUCCUGGGAACUGGAAUGGUGCAGGCUGCCAUACCAACUUCAGCACCAAGGCCAUGAGGGAGGAGAAUGGUCUGAAGUACAUUGAGGAGGCCAUUGAGAAACUAAGCAAGUGGCACCAGUACCACAUUUGCGCCUACAAUCCAAGGGGAGCCUGGAUAAUGCCCAGCGCCUAACUGGAUUCCAUGAAACCUCCAACAUCAACGACUUUUCUGCUGGUGUAGCCAACGAUAGUGCCAGCAUCCACAUUCCCCAGACUAUUGGCCAGGAAAAGAAGGGCUACUUUGAAGACCAUCUUCCCUCUGACAACUGUGACCCCUUCUUGGUGACAGAAGCCCUCAUCAAUUGUCUUCUCAAUGAAACUGGCAACGAGCCUUUCCAGUACAAAAACUAA